UGGGUCAGCUCUGAUCGUUUUGCACAUAGCCCCUGCGUUUAACACUAACUAAUAUAGCUCCACGCAGUCAACACACAUGCAUGCAUGCCGCUCCGUAGCGUACAGCUCGGAGUCAUUCCAUGUCUUGAUGAGCACGUCACUGACGGGAACAACCCGGUGAGCGAGGUGGCCGUCGGGGUCCUUCCGGCGUGCGCGCCGAGGAAGCUCCUCGCGUCGCUGCCCCGCGGCUCCACGGGCUCCGGUCCGGAAAGUCUGUGCCGCCGGAGAAUGCCGUCAGGUAAUACGGCUCGUGGGUGGAGGCAUCGCCUGGACCGUCGUAGAGCCAGCUGCGGCUCGAGGCAGCNGCUGCCUCGAGCCGCACUGCUUUGCAAGCUCAAGUUCUAGGAUCAAAUAGGAUAACUUUGCAAGUUCUAGGAUAAUUCUGCCACAUGGUGUGUAAGUUGUAGGAUCCGAGUGCUUUUACCUCGUGAUGAAACCACAGUGGGGCUAACCAACCUGCUACUGCAUGUGUUUGUGGUACAAACAAAUGGAUACCCUAAAUAACUUGGCAUGCCAGACAUAUCUGGGAAAGAACUGAGUUCCAAAUCGGACGGGAACUGCUUACAGCGACGUGCUUGGGUCGGUCGCUGCUGUGGCCCAGCAGCUAGCAACGCUGGGGAAGAGGCAGGCUAGGGCUGACCCUUGGCUUAGCUUGCACCGGCCUUGCACUGGGCCGGGGAGCUUGACGAGGCAAGCCCCGAUCUGGUCAACGCAGAGCUGCAUCGUCCUCGUCUACUCGAAGGGCGCAACAGCUAUAGGUGACAGGAGGCAGCAGCGUCGUGGUUCCCUGGGCAGAGAAGAGAAAAAGAGAUUGACUAGAGAGAGAUAAGGAACGAACGG
RNAcentral lists this long non-coding RNA (879 nucleotides) under Hordeum vulgare. RNAcentral's name for it is "long non-coding RNA (HVUL_LNC009696)". The record is from RNAcentral. Lineage: Eukaryota; Viridiplantae; Streptophyta; Magnoliopsida; Poales; Poaceae.